Sphaerobolus stellatus SS14 is the source of this 94-nucleotide transfer RNA. It matches the Rfam family "tRNA". Rfam says of the family: Transfer RNA (tRNA) molecules are approximately 80 nucleotides in length. Their secondary structure includes four short double-helical elements and three loops (D, anti-codon, and T loops). Further hydrogen bonds mediate the characteristic L-shaped molecular structure. tRNAs have two regions of fundamental functional importance: the anti-codon, which is responsible for specific mRNA codon recognition, and the 3' end, to which the tRNAs corresponding amino acid is attached (by aminoacyl-tRNA synthetases). tRNAs cope with the degeneracy of the genetic code in two manners: having more than one tRNA (with a specific anti-codon) for a particular amino acid; and 'wobble' base-pairing, i.e. permitting non-standard base-pairing at the 3rd anti-codon position. Lineage: Eukaryota; Fungi; Basidiomycota; Agaricomycetes; Geastrales; Sphaerobolaceae. The record is from Rfam.
UCUUAGGUAGUAUAGUGGUUAGUAUUCGCGCCUGUCAGAGUAGGAGUUUAACUCUAGAUCGUGCGAGACCGGGGUUCAAUUCCCCGCCUGAGAG